UGGGGAAUAUUGGACAAUGGGCGAAAGCCUGAUCCAGCCAUGCCGCGUGUGUGAAGAAGGUCUUCGGAUUGUAAAGCACUUUAAGUUGGGAGGAAGGGCAGUAAGCGAAUACCUUGCUGUUUUGACGUUACCGACAGAAUAAGCACCGGCUAACUCUGUGCCAGCAGCCGCGGUAAUACAGAGGGUGCAAGCGUUAAUCGGAAUUACUGGGCGUAAAGCGCGCGUAGGUGGUUCGUUAAGUUGAAUGUGAAAGCCCCGGGCUCAACCUGGGAACUGCAUCCAAAACUGGCGAGCUAGAGUAGGGCAGAGGGUGGUGGAAUUUCCUGUGUAGCGGUGGAAUGCGUAGAUAUAAGAAGGAACACCAGUGGCGAAGGCGACCACCUGGGCUCAUACUGACACUGAGGUGCGAAAGCGUGGGGAGCAAACAGG
This 429-nucleotide ribosomal RNA is filed under the name Pseudomonadota bacterium. Its description in RNAcentral is "Proteobacteria bacterium partial 16S ribosomal RNA". It matches the Rfam family "Bacterial small subunit ribosomal RNA", at positions 355 to 776 of the family's 1533-position model. Lineage: Bacteria; Pseudomonadati; Pseudomonadota. The record is from RNAcentral.